UGAAAAUAAUAGCGGUGCAGAGGAGAGCUCCGCUCAGUUGAGUCAGAGGGAAGAAAAUCUUAGGAAGGACCGAAACGGAGGGAGAGAGUCGGUCACUGAUGGACGAACAAUGCAGUAUUUGAGACAUUUUUCCAGUUAUCGUGGAAUCUUAGGGAGAGGAACUUCAACUCUCCCACCUUCCCUCCCUUCUCCAGGGAGAGGGGCCUCCUUCCACGCUUGACCCAGACUCAAUCUGCUGCAGAGGGACAGAGUGACUAUGCUUCUGGAUACAGAGCAGGAACGCCAGAGCUGUCUGGUCCGCCCUGCAGGCCGGUCCCAUGGUGAGGGCGGAGAGGAGAUCAGACGUCCCCUCACACAUACUGUCCUUCAGAUACAUCUCCAUGGGGGCAUCAUUAAUCUGGACCUCAUAGAAACACAGAAG
Molecule: long non-coding RNA, 421 nt
Organism: Cyprinus carpio (common carp)
Lineage: Eukaryota; Metazoa; Chordata; Actinopteri; Cypriniformes; Cyprinidae
Source: Ensembl